AGAGUUUGAUCCUGGCUCAGGACGAACGCUGGCGGCGUGCUUAACACAUGCAAGUCGAACGGAAAGGCCCCUUCGGGGGUGCUCGAGUGGCGAACGGGUGAGUAACACGUGGGUGAUCUGCCUGCACUUUGGGAUAAGCCUGGGAAACUGGGUCUAAUACCGGAUAGGACCAUGGCAUGCAUGUGCUGUGGUGGAAAGCU
This 200-nucleotide ribosomal RNA is filed under the name uncultured bacterium. RNAcentral's name for it is "partial 16S ribosomal RNA". It matches the Rfam family "Bacterial small subunit ribosomal RNA", at positions 8 to 209 of the family's 1533-position model. The record is from RNAcentral.